UUUCCGUAGGUGAACCUGCGGAAGGAUCAUUAUCGUAGGGCUUCGGCCCUGUCGAGAUAGAACCCUUGCCUUUUUGAGUACCUUUCGUUUCCUCGGCAGCCUCGGCUGCCAAUGGGGACCCCAAAAAGCACUUUGCAGUACCUGUAACAGUCUGAACAAACAAACAAAAAUUAAAACUUUCAACAACAGAUCUCUUGGUUCUG
This 203-nucleotide unclassified non-coding RNA is filed under the name plant metagenome. Its description in RNAcentral is "partial contains small subunit ribosomal RNA, internal transcribed spacer 1, and 5.8S ribosomal RNA". The record is from RNAcentral.